Molecule: non-coding RNA, 2523 nt
Organism: Oncorhynchus mykiss (rainbow trout)
Lineage: Eukaryota; Metazoa; Chordata; Actinopteri; Salmoniformes; Salmonidae
Source: RefSeq, a predicted model, not a curated record
GCUCCACUGAUCUACUGGCUGAGCAGACUUCUAUUCCAGAGGUGGCCAACCCUGCUCCACUGAUCUACUGGCUGAGUAGACUUCUAUUCCAGAGGUGGCCAACCCUGCUCCACUGAUCUACUGGCUGAGUAGACUUCUAUUCCAGAGGUGGCCAACCCUGCUCCACUGAUCUACUGGCUGAGUAGACUUCUAUUCCAGAGGUGGCCAACCCUGCUCCACUGAUCUACUGGCUGGCUGAGCAGACUUCUAUUCCAGAGGUGGCCAACCCUGCUCCACUGAUCUACUGGCUGAGUAGACUUCUAUUCCAGAGGUGGCCAACCCUGCUCCACUGAUCUACUGGCUGGCUGAGCAGACUUCUAUUCCAGAGGUGGCCAACCCUGCUCCACUGAUCUACUGGCUGAGUAGACUUCUAUUCCAGAGGUGGCCAACCCUGCUCCACUGAUCUACUGGCUGGCUGAGCAGACUUCUAUUCCAGAGAUGGCCAACCCUGCUCCACUGAUCUACUGGCUGAGUAGACUUCUAUUCCAGAGGUGGCCAACCCUGCUCCACUGAUCUACUGGCUGGCUGAGCAGACUUCUAUUCCAGAGAUGGCCAACCCUGCUCCACUGAUCUACUGGCUGAGCAGGGUUCCAUUCCAGAGGUGGCCAACCCUGCUCCACUGAUCUACUGGCUGAGUAGACUUCUAUUCCAGAGGUGGCCAACCCUGCUCCACUGAUCUACUGGCUGAGUAGACUUCUAUUCCAGAGGUGGCCAACCCUGCUCCACUGAUCUACUGGCUGAGUAGACUUCUAUUCCAGAGAUGGCCAACCCUGCUCCACUGAUCUACUGGCUGAGCAGACUUCUAUUCCAGCCCAGAAAAUAGCACUCUUGAUGAUCAACUCUUUAGAUGUGAUGAUGAGUUGGUAAUCGGGUGUGUUAUUGCUGGGCUGGAAAAUAACCCUGCACAGCCAGCAGCUCCCGUUGUAACCAGGUUAAUACACUGUGUGGGAUGUUUAACUGUAUAACUGUAUACAGCAUUCUGUUAAACAUAGGUGGGCCAACACAUAUAACCCAGGGCACAUAGGAUAUACCCUUCGUCUCUUGGGACGUUCAUCGGGACCUCUCUCUUCAUCUGCCAACGGGCUUUCUUUCACAGCAUUCCAUAGCCGAGGACAGAUUACAUCACAAAGAAACAGGCUUCAUUAUACUCCAAUGAGACGGCACUGAAUAGUAUGUUGCCAUUAUCUCUCUGUCCUCGUAGUUUAACCCUCUAGGGACUGGAGAAUUUGUUCAUAAUGACCUGUCCAGUGGCCUACCAUUCUCCCGUUACUGACAGCUGAAGCGGCAAUGUCACCCUCUUCCAUGGCCGUUAUCUAGAAAAUACAUUUGGAGACUAUUUUUAAUUUUACAAUGAUUACAUCAAGAUAGCUAGCCAAUAGGAAGUUAGCUAGCUGAUUACAUUUAAUUCACUUAGCUAAACAGUGUGUAAAGUUAGCUAGCUCGCUAGUUAGCAGCUCAGUGGAGUCUACAAAGUGGCCUACUGUAGCCAGCUAGCUAGUUAGCAGUUCAGUGGAGUCUACAAAGUGGCCUACUGUAGCCAGCUAGCUAGAUGGCAGCUCAGUGGAGUUAGCCUAUAAAGUGGCCUACUGUAGCCAGCUAGCUAGUUAGCAGCUCAGUGGAGUCUACAAAGUGGCCUACUGUAGCCAGCUAGCAGCUCAGUGGAGUUAGCCUAUAAAGUGGCCUACUGUAGCUAGCUAGCUAGUUAGCAGAUUAGUGGAGUCUACAAAGAUGCCUACUGUAGCCAGCUAGCUAGUUAGCAGAUCAGUGGAGUCUACAAAGAAUGUUAGAAAUGUAACAUAUAAUCAAAAUAUGUUCGGUGUGUUUUUGCACCAAAUCUAAAUUCUCCAGACGGUGGUAUGGCAACGUGAGACUAGAGUGUAAUGUAUUGUGUGUGUGUCUGUCUGCCUGUGUAUGUAGUCUGUGUUAAUCUCCUCAACGCUGGGAAUUCCCCCUCUCCCCCACUCCUGGCCCCUCCCCUCUGACUUUGUUUCCUGUGGCGGUGACAUCACAGGUCAACCUUUGGGUCAUGGGGGUUGCGUUUCCUGUUUGGCACGGCAACAUAACGGUUCACGACCGUUCGUCCAAUGGGGUCCGUUUUAGAACACGACUCUGUGACAAAUUAUUAUUCAUUUAUAAGACAAGUUGGAAUCUCAUUUGGAGAAGACAAACUGACAUUUACAAUGAGACCAGACCAGAGCCCAUCAGCUAAAUGAAAGACGGAUUGAAAGAAGAACAGUAGAAAGAGGAAUAGUUUUGGAAAGAGGAAUAGUUUUGGAAAGAGGAAUAGUUUUGGAAAGAGGAAUAGUUUUGGAAAGAGGAAUAGUUUUGGAAAGAGGCAUAGUUUUGGAAAGAGGAAUAGUUUUGGAAAGAGGCAUAGUUUUGAAAAGAGGCAUAGUUUUGGAAAGAGGAAUAGUUUUGGAAAGAGGCAUAGUUUUUGGAAAGAGGAAUAGUUUUGGAAAGAGGCAUAGUUUUGGAAAGAGGAAU